Molecule: ribosomal RNA, 242 nt
Filed under: uncultured bacterium
Lineage: Bacteria
Description: partial 16S ribosomal RNA
Rfam family: Bacterial small subunit ribosomal RNA
Source: RNAcentral
UCGACCGGCGCACGGGUGAGUAACGCGUAUCCAACCUGCCUCUGACUAAGGGAUAACCCGGCGAAAGUCGGACUAAUACCUUAUGAGGUUUUCAGCAGACAUCUAAAGAAAACGAAAGAUUAUCGGUCAGUGAUGGGGAUGCGUCUGAUUAGCUUGUUGGCGGGGUAACGGCCCACCAAGGCAACGAUCAGUAGGGGUUCUGAGAGGAAGGUCCCCCACAUUGGAACUGAGACACGGUCCAA